AUUGAACGCUGGCGGAAUGCUUUACACAUGCAAGUCGAACGGUAGAGGGGGCAACCCCUCGAGAGUGGCGAACGGGUGAGUAAUAUAUCGGAACGUGCCCAGUCGUGGGGGAUAACGUAGCGAAAGUUACGCUAAUACCGCAUACGAUCUAAGGAUGAAGGCGGGGGAUCGCAAGACCUCGCGCGAUUGGAGCGGCCGAUAUCAGAUUAGGUAGUUGGUGGGGUAAAGGCUCACCAAGCCAACGAUCUGUAGCUGGUCUGAGAGGACGACCAGCCACACUGGAACUGAGACACGGUGCAGACUCCUACGGGAGGCAGCAGUGGGGAAUUUUGGACAAUGGACGCAAGUCUGAUCCAGCCAUUCCGCGUGCAGGAUGAAGGCCCUCGGGUUGUAAACUGCUUUUGUACGGAACGAAAAGGUCUCUCUUAAUACGGGGGGCUCAUGACGGUACCGUAAGAAUAAGCACCGGCUAACUACGUGCCAGCCGCCGCCGUAA
RNAcentral lists this ribosomal RNA (496 nucleotides) under uncultured bacterium. RNAcentral describes it as "partial 16S ribosomal RNA". It matches the Rfam family "Bacterial small subunit ribosomal RNA", at positions 30 to 523 of the family's 1533-position model. The record is from RNAcentral.